AAUCACAGUGCUUUCGUCCAGC
RNAcentral lists this microRNA (22 nucleotides) under Heligmosomoides polygyrus. RNAcentral describes it as "hpo-miR-10090-3p". Lineage: Eukaryota; Metazoa; Nematoda; Chromadorea; Rhabditida; Heligmosomidae. The record is from miRBase by way of RNAcentral.